This 494-nucleotide ribosomal RNA is filed under the name uncultured bacterium. Its description in RNAcentral is "bacterial SSU rRNA". It matches the Rfam family "Bacterial small subunit ribosomal RNA", at positions 30 to 507 of the family's 1533-position model. The record is from RNAcentral.
AUGAACGCUAGCGGCAGGCUUAAUACAUGCAAGUUGAGGGGCAGCAUGAUAUACGCGAGUAUAUUGAUGGCGACCGGCGGACGGGUGAGUAAUAGGUAGGAGACCUACCUCAUACAGGGGGAUAGCAUAGAGAAAUCUGUGGUAAUACCCCAUGAGGUUAUAUGAAUAGAGGCAUAUAAUCAAAGCAUAAGUGAUUAUGCGGUAUGAGAGGGGCCUACUGACCAUUAGCUAGUUGGUGAGGUAAGGGCUCACCAAGGCGAAGAUGGUUAGGGGUUUUGAGAGAGAGACCCCCCACAUUGGAACUGAGAGACGGUCCAGACUCCUACGGGAGGCAGCAGUAGGGAAUAUUGGGCAAUGGGCGAAAGCCUGACCCAGCCAUGCCGCGUGAAGGAAGACGGCCUUAUGGGUUGUAAACUUCUUUACUACGCGAAUAGAGGUUAGUACGAGAUACUAAUAGGAAGGUAGUGUAGUAAAAAGCACCGGCUAACUCCGUG